Molecule: transfer RNA, 70 nt
Filed under: Crotaphatrema lamottei
Lineage: Eukaryota; Metazoa; Chordata; Amphibia; Gymnophiona; Scolecomorphidae
Description: tRNA-Pro
Rfam family: tRNA
About the family: Transfer RNA (tRNA) molecules are approximately 80 nucleotides in length.
Source: RNAcentral
CAGGAGAUAGUUAAAAUAGAAUUUUGGCCUUGGGUGCCAAAGGUGGGGAUUAAAAAUUUCCCUCUUCUGA